CUUGGCGGCCAUAGCGCGGUGGUCCCACCUGAUCCCAUGCCGAACUCAGAAGUGAAACGCCGUAGCGCCGAUGGUAGUGUGGGG
Molecule: ribosomal RNA, 84 nt
Filed under: Proteus mirabilis
Lineage: Bacteria; Pseudomonadati; Pseudomonadota; Gammaproteobacteria; Enterobacterales; Morganellaceae
Source: RNAcentral